UACGGGAGGCAGCAGUGGGGAAUAUUGCACAAUGGGCGCAAGCCUGAUGCAGCCAUGCCGCGUGUAUGAAAAAGGCCUUCGGGUUGUAAAGUACUUUCAGUCGUGAGGAAGGUGUUAAGGUUAAUAACCUUAGCAAUUGACGUUAGCGACAGAAGGAGCACCGGCUAACUCCGUGCCAGCAGCCGCGGUAAUACGGAGGGUGCGAGCGUUAAUCGGAAUUACUGGGCGUAAAGGGCACGCAGGCGGUUAAUUAAGUUGGAUGUGAAAUCCCCGGGCUUAACCUGGGAAUGGCAUUCAAGACUGGUUAGCUAGAGUCUUGUAGAGGGGGUAGAAUUCCAUGUGUAGCGGUGAAAUGCGUAGAGAUGUGGAGGAAUACCGGUGGCGAAGGCGGCCCCUGGGACAAAGACUGACGCUCAUGUGCGAAAGCGUGGGGAGCAAACAGGGAUUAGAUACC
RNAcentral lists this ribosomal RNA (454 nucleotides) under uncultured bacterium. RNAcentral's name for it is "bacterial SSU rRNA". It matches the Rfam family "Bacterial small subunit ribosomal RNA", at positions 340 to 786 of the family's 1533-position model. The record is from RNAcentral.